UGACGAGUUUGAUCCUGGCUCAGAUUGAACGCUGGCGGCAUGCUUUACACAUGCAAGUCGAACGGCAGCGCGGGGCAACCUGGCGGCGAGUGGCGAACGGGUGAGUAAUAUAUCGGAACGUACCCAAGAGUGGGGGAUAACGUAGCGAAAGUUACGCUAAUACCGCAUACGAUCUAAGGAUGAAAGCAGGGGAUCUUCGGACCUUGUGCUCCUGGAGCGGCCGAUAUCUGAUUAGCUAGUUGGUGAGGUAAAGGCUCACCAAGGCCACGAUCAGUAGCUGGUCUGAGAGGACGACCAGCCACACUGGAACUGAGACACGGUCCAGACUCCGUACGGGAGCAGCAGUGGGGUAAUUUCUGCAAGUGGGCGAAAGCCCUGACAGAGCAAU
RNAcentral lists this ribosomal RNA (388 nucleotides) under uncultured Oxalobacteraceae bacterium. Its description in RNAcentral is "bacterial SSU rRNA". It matches the Rfam family "Bacterial small subunit ribosomal RNA", at positions 1 to 395 of the family's 1533-position model. Lineage: Bacteria; Pseudomonadati; Pseudomonadota; Betaproteobacteria; Burkholderiales; Oxalobacteraceae. The record is from RNAcentral.